AUUCUAAUUAGUUUAUUAAACAUUAAAUUGCAAAUUUAAAUUAAUAAAUCAUUAGAU
Molecule: transfer RNA, 57 nt
Filed under: Selenops bursarius
Lineage: Eukaryota; Metazoa; Arthropoda; Arachnida; Araneae; Selenopidae
Description: tRNA-Cys
Source: RNAcentral